Transfer RNA from Pseudogymnoascus pannorum, 106 nucleotides. It matches the Rfam family "tRNA". Rfam says of the family: Transfer RNA (tRNA) molecules are approximately 80 nucleotides in length. Their secondary structure includes four short double-helical elements and three loops (D, anti-codon, and T loops). The record is from Rfam. Lineage: Eukaryota; Fungi; Ascomycota; Leotiomycetes; Thelebolales; Thelebolaceae.
GCUCUCGUAGCUCAGUUGGUAGAGCGCGGCACUAGUAUCGAUACAUGGUUUCUGAUCACGUGAUGUGGUAAUGCCGAGGUCUACGGUUCAACUCCGUACGGGAGCA